UACGAAGGGGGCUAGCGUUGUUCGGAUUUACUGGGCGUAAAGCGCACGUAGGCGGCCGAUUAAGUCGGGGGUGAAAGCCUGUGGCUCAACCACAGAAUUGCCUCGAUACUGGUUGGCUUGAGACCGGAAGAGGACAGCGGAACUGCGAGUGUAGAGGUGAAAUUCGUAGAUAUUCGCAAGAACACCAGUGGCGAAGGCGGCUGUCUGGUCCGGUUCUGACGCUGAGGCGCGAAAGCGUGGGGAGCAAACAGG
Molecule: ribosomal RNA, 252 nt
Filed under: uncultured bacterium
Lineage: Bacteria
Description: partial 16S ribosomal RNA
Rfam family: Bacterial small subunit ribosomal RNA
Source: RNAcentral